This 135-nucleotide small nucleolar RNA is filed under the name Amphilophus citrinellus (Midas cichlid). RNAcentral describes it as "Small nucleolar RNA SNORA24 (ENSACIG00000000861.1)". The record is from RNAcentral. Lineage: Eukaryota; Metazoa; Chordata; Actinopteri; Cichliformes; Cichlidae.
GCCCACGUUACCAUGGAAACUGUCUUUUUGAAUGACAGGCUUCCUUCCUAGGCGUGGUACAGCAAGUCCUUGCUUUUAUUCAUUCAGUCUCUUAUGCUGUUGUCAUUGGAGGCAGGAAUAGAAGAAGAAACAAUU